RNAcentral lists this ribosomal RNA (1544 nucleotides) under Rhincalanus rostrifrons. RNAcentral describes it as "SSU rRNA". It matches the Rfam family "Eukaryotic small subunit ribosomal RNA", at positions 51 to 1620 of the family's 1831-position model. The record is from RNAcentral. Lineage: Eukaryota; Metazoa; Arthropoda; Copepoda; Calanoida; Eucalanidae.
AUGCAUGUCUAAGUACAAGCCUCACUAAGGUGAAACCGCGAAUGGCUCAUUAAAUCACACCUAAUCUACUGGAUAGUUAACAGUUACUUGGAUAACUGCGGUAAUUCUGGAGCUAAUACAUGCACAAAGCCUCGAACUUACGUGAGAGGCGCUUUUAUUAGAUCAAAACCAAACGUUUUCGAACGUUUUCUUGGUGACUCUGAAUAACUUUGGGCUGAUCGCAUAGCCUUGCGCUGGCGACAUAUCCUUCGAAGGUGUGCCCUAUCAACUGUCGACUGUGGCAUAGACGCCCACAGUGGUUUUGACGGGUAACGGGGAAUCAGGGUUCGAUUCCGGAGAGGGAGCCUUAAAAACGGCUACCACAUCUAAGGAAGGCAGCAGGCACGCAAAUUACCCAAUGACCGAAGGUCGAGGUAGUGACGAAAAAUAACGAUACGGGACUCUUCCGAGGCCCCGUAAUCGGAAUGAGUACACUUUAAAACCGUCCCCGAGGAUCUAUUGGAGGGCAAGUCUGGUGCCAGCAGCCGCGGUAAUUCCAGCUCCAAUAGCGUAUAUUAAAGUUGUUGUGGUUAAAAAGCUCGUAGUUGGAUCUCGGCAGUCUGAGGUUGGUGUACUUGCUAGUACUACUGCCCUAUAGACUGUAGUUUUGCCAGAGGUGCCCGGGUGCUCUUAAUCGAGUGUCCUGGUAUGCUGGCAGGUUUACUUUGAAAAAAUUAGAGUGCUCAAAGCAGGCUUUUACGCCUGAAUAUUCGUGCAUGGAAUAAUAGAAUAGGAAGUCGUUUCUAUUUUGUUGGUUUUCGGAAAUCGACUUAAUGAUUAAUAGGGACAGUCGGGGGCAUUUGUAUUCAAACGACAGAGGUGAAAUUCUUGGACCGUUUGAAGACAAACUACUGCGAAAGCAUUUGCCAAGAAUGUUUUCAUUAAUCAAGAACGAAAGUUAGAGGUUCGAAGGCGAUUAGAUACCGCCCUAGUUCUAACCAUAAACGAUGCCAGCUAGCGAUCUGCCGACGUUUUUUUUGUAGACUCGGCAGGAAGCUUCCGGGAAACCAAAGCAUUUGGGUUCCAGGGGAAGUAUGGUUGCAAAGCUGAAACUUAAAGGAAUUGACGGAAGGGCACCACCAGGAGUGGAGCCUGUGGCUUAAUUUGACUCAACACGGGAAAUCUCACCAGGCCCGGACACUGGAAGGAUUGACAGAUUGAUAGCUCUUUCUUGAUUCGGUGGGUGGUGGUGCAUGGCCGUUCUUAGUUGGUGGAGUGAUUUGUCUGGUUAAUUCCGAUAACGAACGAGACUCUGUCCUGCUAAAUAGUGUCGGCUUCUCUUUUGAGCCGAUAAUUCUUCUUAGAGGGACUGGCAACUCUCAGUUGCACGAGAUUGAGCAAUAACAGGUCUGUGAUGCCCUUAGAUGUUCUGGGCCGCACACGCGCUACACUGAAUAGAUCAGCGUGUUCUCCCUUUCUGAGAAGAACGGGUAAACCGCUGAACCCUAUUCGUGGUAGGGAUCGGGGCUUGCAAUUGUUCCCCGUGAACCAGGAAUUCCCAGUAG